AUUGAACGCUGGCGGCAUGCUUUACACAUGCAAGUCGAACGGCAGCGCGGGCUUCGGCCUGGCGGCGAGUGGCGAACGGGUGAGUAAUGCAUCGGAACGUGCCCAGUAGUGGGGGAUAGCCCGGCGAAAGCCGGAUUAAUACCGCAUACGACCUGAGGGUGAAAGCGGGGGACCGAAAGGCCUCGCGCUAUUGGAGCGGCCGAUGUCGGAUUAGCUAGUUGGUGGGGUAAAGGCUUACCAAGGCGACGAUCCGUAGCUGGUCUGAGAGGACGACCAGCCACACUGGGACUGAGACACGGCCCAGACUCCUACGGGAGGCAGCAGUGGGGAAUUUUGGACAAUGGGGGCAACCCUGAUCCAGCCAUGCCGCGUGCGGGAAGAAGGCCUUCGGGUUGUAAACCGCUUUUGUUCGGGAAGAAAUACUCUGGGCUAAUACACCGGGGGGAUGACGGUACCGGAAGAAUAAGCACCGGCUAACUACGUG
This 484-nucleotide ribosomal RNA is filed under the name uncultured bacterium. RNAcentral's name for it is "partial 16S ribosomal RNA". It matches the Rfam family "Bacterial small subunit ribosomal RNA", at positions 29 to 507 of the family's 1533-position model. The record is from RNAcentral.